UGUCCCAGCGGGGAAGUGAUGUUAUACCUUUAUUGCAUACCAUUUAUUACAGGUCCUUAGAUAAUACAAGAAACAUUUGACCUGAUUCCUACCUGGACGCAGAGAGAAACACAGCUCGUGUUAAGCAAUGGAGAGUUCAGAGGACACCACCGUUCCAUGCAUUCAAUCCGAGAGUUCGGAGGACACCACUGCUCUGAAAAAUCAAGCCGUAAGUGCAUAAUUAUUAAAAUUAACUUAUUUAUGUUAUUUGUAAUAGUCAGACUAAAUUUGCCAUGUUCCCCAUCCUCUACUUUGUG
This is a long non-coding RNA of Brienomyrus brachyistius, 296 nucleotides long. RefSeq lists it as uncharacterized. NCBI's taxonomy places the organism in Eukaryota, Metazoa, Chordata, Actinopteri, Osteoglossiformes, Mormyridae. The record is from RefSeq and is a predicted model, not a curated record. The transcript has 3 exons.